UGGGAAUGUCAGCAGCCACAGCCCC
Molecule: non-coding RNA, 25 nt
Filed under: Xenopus tropicalis (tropical clawed frog)
Lineage: Eukaryota; Metazoa; Chordata; Amphibia; Anura; Pipidae
Also listed under: 1 other name
Source: RNAcentral